AAGAAACUGUAAAUAGAAACAAUGAACAGUAUAUCCUUAAAAAGACUUUCAGUAUACAGGCCAGAGACCUGGGAAAUUAUUCCUGCAUCUUCAGAGAAAAUCAGGCACAAGUAACAUUUGUUUUAGAUGUUCCUGUAAUAAAAGACAAAAGAGACAAGCCGGUAGUGAGCUACACUGGAGAUUCAGUUGUACUGGAGUGUAAAAUCAAACACACACCAAACACCUGGAACUGGUACAAGGCAAACAAUACUG
Molecule: long non-coding RNA, 252 nt
Organism: Sinocyclocheilus anshuiensis
Lineage: Eukaryota; Metazoa; Chordata; Actinopteri; Cypriniformes; Cyprinidae
Exons: 3
Source: RefSeq, a predicted model, not a curated record